UGGCAAUUAAAACGAUACAUUUAUGCAGCCGAAAUUAAAAAGCCAUCAUAAAGUGGUUUUACAUUUUUCAAAUGAAAGUUCUCUUUCCCUAUGUUCAAUGCACGAGAAGCUCAACCAAGACCAUGAGUAAAAGUUAGAAAACCCUUUCACUAUUUAAUUUCACCCUAAACAAUGGAUCUGAAAGCAAAACACAUAUCUAAAUUCAUCCGCCCCAAAUAUCGCACGGUUGAAUAUUUAAUUUAGGGUUUGAAGCUUUAUGAAGUCAUAAUCCAUGGCUAAUCAUCAUCGUUCUCCAGGUUCUUCAUAAAAAAUCGUUCUUCCACCUCAAGAACUCCUCGAUGAUCUUUGCAGUUUCAAGUUUUGUUGAAAUGGUUUGGCAUGAAUUUAUAAAAGGUCAGAUGAACGACGAUUUCGACUUCGCGCCCGCCUAAUCUUGCUGCUACUGUAGUAUAUGGUGAAAAUCAUGCUGGUGUUGUUGUUGGUAGAAAUGUCGUGCUUAAAGAGCAAGGAGGAGUAUGAAGCAUCCCUUUGUUUGUGUGGAAGCCAAGUAUGUUGUGGGAGCUACUUGAAUUUGAUUGGUGAAGUAGCAUUUCAAAAGGUUUGUGCUAUUUCAACUCUUGAUAAGAAAAUUGAAGGAGAUAUGUGAUAUUUUAUCAUGUUUUUUUCUAUUUGUACAGAGAUAUAUUUGAUACUCUGCAUUUGAA
Molecule: long non-coding RNA, 704 nt
Organism: Vicia villosa (hairy vetch)
Lineage: Eukaryota; Viridiplantae; Streptophyta; Magnoliopsida; Fabales; Fabaceae
Exons: 3
Source: RefSeq, a predicted model, not a curated record